This is a long non-coding RNA of Rattus norvegicus (Norway rat), 6082 nucleotides long. RefSeq lists it as uncharacterized. Lineage: Eukaryota; Metazoa; Chordata; Mammalia; Rodentia; Muridae. The record is from RefSeq and is a predicted model, not a curated record.
CAUGGUGCAUAAAAGAAAAUACUUGGUCUUCAUCAACUUUGCUCUUUUUAAAUUUUAUUUCUAAAAUACUUUAUUUUUGAGUUUGUAAUCUGCUCAUAUCAUUUCCUCCUCCCCUUUCCUCCCUCCAAACUUUUCCAUAUACCCUCUUUUUGUUUGCUUUCUAAAACACGGCCUUAUUUUUAAAUGUAUGGCUGUCACAAUCUCUUCUGUUUAGGCAAGAGACUUGAGCUGAAGAUGGUAAGGAGGGGGAAGGGUGAUGAUCACUUAUGAAGGAAUAAAUCUUAGAGAGCAGAAGACCUGUUAUUCUAGGACCUACCAAGGAGUCAGCAACCCCCCAUCAAGAAACAUCAUCACAAUAAAUGACACGAUUACCUUAAUUCAUAGUUUCCCACACAUUUUGGACUUGUGAGUAUGUAAGUUGCGAGAGAGAUCUAAGUUGUAAAACGUUGCUGUCCUCCUAUAAAUAACACUAAACGUAACACCGUUGUACUACCCAGGUGCUUUUGUGGUACUUCUAGACCCAGCUUGUUCGGGAAGUUUCUGAAUUUCAAAAACUAACUUCAAACUCUUAUGCCACAGCUUUCAAUUUUCCUUACACGUCUUCCACCUUUUUUGUUUGUUUGUUUUAAAUCUGAUCUCCUGUCCCCUGCAUUACAGUUUCAAAUUACUAGCCAUGGCACAUCUGCAUUCACUCUGGUUCUCUGUUUGCUGAGUGUCAUUACAUGUAACUGUCCAACAUCCAUCUCUCUUGAUCCUGUCUUAGGAGUAGGGGCUGGAUCUGUUGCCUUUUAUGUAGGAUAUUAAGCUAUCACAUAAAGUGAGCGUCUUUUCUAGUGCCAGAAUCGUGCUUUUCUCACAGAACAGUUUUUAAUCAUGUCACUGUGGUGUGUUUUUUUUUUCUCUUUUUUUCUUUUUUAAUCUGCAGUAACUCUAGUUCACCUUCGGACUGCACAAACUGCAGAUCUUUUACAUUUUAAGUGGUUUUGCCACAGUUGUAAAACAAGUGUGGAUUCAUAUUUUGAAUUAAUAUCCAUGGGUCAGGUCAUCUAUUCUGUGACUUUACUACUGCUUCUGCAUCCUGACCAGGUAGCCCUUAGCAACCAGAUCUUUCCUGUAACCGUCUCUAGGGCUUAUGGCAACUCUGCUACCAAGUUGGAAGUAUGCCUGCCCGUUCCAGGACUCCAUUCUGGAAAAAAAGAAAUCACCGGCAGCCAUCAAGGACUUCAUUAAUGAGACCAGUGGGAACAUCAGCUCUCUUCACGGAAUUGUCUCACAUCUUCUUGGUGCAGCUUACCCUGCACUCCAAAGGCUUCGUCAGCACGCUUCAUUUAGUAACCUGAGAAAGCAGUUGGCUGUGGGUGAUUGAAAUAUAAGAAAGCAAACUGGGCAGACAAAUAUUUCAAAAUUUGAAGUAAAGGAGAAGGAAGAAAAAAAGAAGAGGAAAAUGAAGAAAAAGAAGAGGAGAGUAUUUUCUCCACUGAAUAAUUCUUACACAGAUCAUGGAACUUUGGUAUCUACACCCUCUGUUUACAGCUUUCUGUUACUCAAAGGAUCUUUAAGGUAGGCCCUAGACUCAAAGCACUAUUUCAGAAUCAGAAGCAGUGCUAAUUUAAGUUGGAUCUUUCAGGACCCUGAGAAACUAACUCGUGCCUGUAAGGGAGAACAUGUUAGUCUUUUGAUUUUGAAUUCUAGAGACAAAUGUAAACUGCAAGACUUGGGUGUACAUGUGGAAUCUUAGGGAAUGUAACAACUGAUGUGCAAAAUAUGAAGUCAAAUCAAAUCAUGGAAUGUUUAAUUUUUUUUUGGCUUGUUUACUUUAAAUCAGAGCCCAGUUUGGGAAUUAACAUCACAUGUCUGCUUUGUUGGUCCACCCUACCUCUCCCUCAUUCUCUUACUUAAAUGUAUAGAUUGAUUAAAAUCUAUUGUAUCCACUGGGAUUCAUUCUUUUUUUUUUACCCAACAGGUGACAAAUCUGAGACUCUUCUGUAGGUAUGAAGGUUACAUGGAAUAGCUACAGAUAUGAGUAUAGAAAUUUUAUUGUAAUAACGAAUGAACACAACAUGGUUUUUCUUUAUGUCACAAUUGCUGAACUGAUUUGACGAGCUCGUUAGAAGUUUCAAAAACUUUUUUUCAGUUAUAGAAACUACAGGUGGCCUUUGCAACUUAUUUAAAUCAAAUCUUACUGAUUCAUUUUAAUCAAUGAAUUUGUAUUUUACAGUCUUGAUAUAUCCCCCAAUCUUAUCUUCCUAUAUCAGCCUCCUAAGUGAGAUCAUUACUUGGGUUAUGACACCUAGAAAAAACAGUACCAGUGAGGACAGAAUUUUAAUAAAAAAAACCAUAUACACGAUUUAAAGAUAACAAAUCUCUUCUUUUCCAGGUUCCACCUUAUUCUGUUGCUUGCUGCUACUGGAAAUUUGAGGUAUAUCAUUUUCUAUUUUUAAUGCAGAUGGUUAAUUUUGGGCUGCACAGUCUUCACAGUUGACCUUUCUAGAAAUCUCAUGGGCUAGCUUGUACCAAACAUAGGUAGAUUUACAUGUGAGCAUGCACUAUAAUACUCAACAAAAGUAAUGAGUACUGUGAAGUGGACCUUUCCUUUAAGAUUACGAUGAAGAAGACACGCCAUGGAACCUUCUACAGUUUUAGAUUUUAUUUAUUUAUUUAGAUUUAGUUUACCAUCCUCAGACUGUCUUGUCUGAAAACAUAAUACUUAUUAAAGAGUAAAUUAUAUUUCCCAUAUUCAUUUGUAUUUCAUGCAAAGCUUGAGGUCUAUGUCAUGUCCUUUACCUUGCAUUCUGUUUAGAUGCAGAGACAAUGGAAAGAUGAAAAAUUAGAAGAAUGCUGAAAGCCCAAGGCUCAAACCAAAUGAAAAAGCCUCAAAAGUUGGAAAAGUUUUCUAUCCUUCUGAGUGCUGAUGACUAACAUCUGUCUCCUCAUCUAUGUCAGGGAUGAGUUUUGUUCUUAGGAAUAUACAUUAUAUCAAUCCAUUAUAUAUCUUGAAACUAUAAUUGUCUCCUGCCAGUAUUCUUUUUUCUAAUAGGAAUAAUUCAGGUUAUUUUAAUGCCAGUUUUCUGCUAUUCUGAUAACCAUUAAGAUGUUUCAGAUACAUCCAGGUAAGCAGUUUUGUAAUGUAGCAUUUUCUAGCAUUUUCUUUGGGGCAGACAACAGGUUAUAUUUUUGUUGUUGUUGUUGUUGUUGUUUUUGCACACUUUUGAGUGCUGUAUUGAUUAGUUGUUGAACACUUCAGAUGGUUUUUUUUUACAUUUUUCUUUUAUUGGAUUUUAAUUUACAUUUCAAAUGCUAUCCCCCUUUCCUGGUUUCCCCUCCAGAAAUAUCCUAUCUCCCCCUGCUUCUAUGAGUGUGCUCCCCCUACUCCCUCCCGCCUCCCUACCCUGGCAUUCUCCUACAUUGGGUCAUUGAGACUUAACAGGACCAAGGAUCUCUCCUCCCAUUGAUGCCUACCAAGGCCAUCCUCUGCUACAUAUGCAGAUGGAGCCAUUGGUCCAUCCUUGUGUACUCUUGGGGUGGUGGUUUAGUCCCUGGGAACGCUGGGGUGUCUGGUUGGUUGAUAUUGUUUUUAUCCUUAUGGUGUUGCAAACCCCUUCGGCUCCUUCAAUCCUUUCUCUAACUCCUCCAUUGGAGACCCUGUUCUCAGUUCAAUGGUUAACCGUGAGCAUCUGCCUGUGUAUUUGUCAGGCUCUGGCAAAGCCUCUCAGGAGACAGCUAUAUUAGACUCUUGUCAGCAUGCAUUUUUGGCAUCCACAAUAUUGUCUGGGUUUAGUGACUGUAUAGGGGAUGGAUCCCCAUGUGGGGCAGUCUCCGGAUGGCCUUUCCUUCAGUCUCUGCUCCACAUUUUGUCUCCAUAUUUCCUCCUGUGAGUAUUUUUAUUCCCCCUUCUAAGAAGGACUAAAGCAUCCACACUUUGAUCUUUCUUCUUCUUCAGCUUCAUGUGGUCUCUGAAUUAUAUCUUGGGCAUUUUAAAAGGCAAGGGGUGAGGAAAAAAAGCAAUGGAAGCCAGUAACUAGAAGAGUAUUCAGUGGUUAUGUUAGGAAAAUAUCUGUACACAUUUUGGGGAGUGUUUGGAGUCUUUAAUAUAAUGUAUACACAAAAUAGUAUUAUUUAAAAAAGAAAAAUGCCUAAAUCAUGCAGUUAGGCAAAUUUUAUUAUUGUUUUAAAGGGUUAAAGAUGCAAUAGUUUUACAAUGGAGUAUGGAAGUCUCCUCAAUGACAACCCUGUAUAUUAAUCUUAGAGAUCUGUGAACUGUGUGGCAACUUGAAGGAGGCAGCCCUUAGAGAAAAAUUUAACACACACACACACAAACACACACACACACACACACACACACACACACACACACACACACACACACACACACUUUGUUCCAUGAGUCCUGAUUCGUAUAUAAAAUUUGUACAUCAUCCUAUAAGCUCUGUAGUUUGACCCCUCUGCCACGCUGUCCCACCUGAUGCUCCUUUCAGAGCAUGUCUUCCUUUUUACAGAUUGAAGAUGAAAAAUGUUAUGUAAUUACCUCUGACGUGUCUCUCUCUGCUUUAGAACACACAUCAACUUUUCUUCCAUUUGUCCGGUAGGCUGGCUGCUAUCUUCAUCAUUGGCCUUAUGGUACAUUGCUGGCCGGCCUCCUGCUGUAACUUAGUAGUGUUUUCAUGAUGGGCGAGGAAAGGCUGCAUGGAAGACUGCUGAAGAAAUGCCACAGUUAUACUGUGUUCUGUGUGCUGCAUAGCUUGGUCUGCUGUAUACUGUGGACAGUACUUUGUGUACAGUACAGGUUUUGCAGGCGGUAUUUAUUUUGUUAUUAGGGAUCAAGCCAAGGGGCCUUAUGCGCUGUGCAUGAGAGGCAUGCUGCUGAUCACUGAGCUGCUAAUCUCACAUCCUCCCCUUGGAUAUCUUCUGCAUGGAUUCGUACUUUGAACAUGAUGUCCUCCUGACUCAGAUCCCCGAAUAGCUGGAAUCUUACAAACCUGAUCCAUCAGCCUUGGCUGUUAAGUCCAGGACUGGGAACUGCAUGAACAAGAUUAAAGGACAAAACCAGCUCUCAGUGUAGCUGAGUGGACAGCUGGUUAUUUGGUCUGAUUGAGGAGUGCUGAGGAGACUGCUUCUUUCUUUAAUGGCAUGCACAAGGUACUUAGGAUUCUUUCCUUAGGUUUAUGCAUAUCUGGUGAUUGAGUUUUAAAUGCUGUUUUAAAAUGGAAAUUAUUCAAGAAUACAUCCUGAUUAGUCACUAGUCUGGAAUGUAAACCAAAAGAGAAGAGAGGAGAAGAAAAACCAACUGAAAUCAUUAUUUCCAAGUUAACUUUUCAAAUAAUCAUAGCUUCUGUUGAGGGCUUGAGACGAAAUGCUGCUUUUUUACCUGGCUUUUUGCAUUCAUUUCUCUUUUUGACUCUCAUAUCUCUGGGGAGAGAUGACAUAAGAGGCGCUUCUCACGCCUCCAGCUCACUGUUCACUUCACUGUUGUGGACUCUGAAGACUCAAAGACGAAUAACAACAAUAGUACUGAGCAAGAAAGCCCUGGUCUCUCAUUCUUCAAAUGGUCUCCCUUCACAGGAGUGCAGGAUUCACUAUAAAUUCUCCUUUCCAUUCACUCCCAUCUCCAGUGCAGGAUCUAAGGUCAAUUUAAGUGGGAACAUGUUAGUUACUUUUUAAAACUUGACUGUGCUAUUUAAAUAUGAGAACAAGAGAGACUAUGAAACAGUUGUGGAGUAAUUGAUGUUGUAAAGGCUUAUUCAUUUAUUUUGUGUCAGAAUUUUCUUCCUUUUAGAUGUUGAAUAAUAUUCUAUCAUAUGCAUAUACAUUCAUUUACUGAUUAAUUUAUCCAUGGGCAGUUGGAUUGCUUCCACCUGUUGAUUAUUGUAAGUUAGGUUGCUAUGAUUGUAGCUUAUGAAUGUAUUAUUUUGAGAAAAACAACUUAGGCAUAGCUUGGAAUUGUUGAAUAGUACAGUAACUACAAUAAUUUUCUGAGCAACUGCCACACUGUUUUCCCUGCUGGAUGCACCACUCUGACCAACAGUGUAUAAAGGUUACAGGCUCCUGAGUCCUUGCUGUCAAUUAUAUUCUCCCUUCCUUUCUG